GAGGUCUAUGAACAGAUCCAUUCUGGUUCAGUCCAGAUUUGCCGACGCCUGAGAGCUCGCUCGCACCACUUGCUUUCCCAGCAUUCUGUGUGACUGGCAAGGUGCUCUGCAGCAGUACGCUGAGCACCACAUCAAUAUCCGGUGAUGGUCCUGCCAAGAUGUUCACAUAUUCAGCGUGUACUCAAAACAGAUCAUUCAGCUGUGCAUGUCAUGCAAAUAGGAAGCCCUCAGCACUCAACAGCCCACAAUGAAGGCAAUACUCUACGAGAGAG
RNAcentral lists this long non-coding RNA (272 nucleotides) under Setaria italica (foxtail millet). RNAcentral's name for it is "long non-coding RNA (SITA_LNC003625)". Lineage: Eukaryota; Viridiplantae; Streptophyta; Magnoliopsida; Poales; Poaceae. The record is from RNAcentral.